Seriola dumerili (greater amberjack) is the source of this 722-nucleotide long non-coding RNA. RefSeq lists it as uncharacterized. The record is from RefSeq and is a predicted model, not a curated record. The transcript is spliced from 3 exons. Lineage: Eukaryota; Metazoa; Chordata; Actinopteri; Carangiformes; Carangidae.
AGCAGAUCCACCCCCAUGGCCAUAUCCAGGGUGCAAUUCAAAACGACCGGACUCGUAAACCCGUAAAACAAAUCCAAAACUGUCAGCAUUCCUGAUGGAGGGAGACAGGGAGGAGGAGAGAGGUGGACUGGACCCUCUGACAGUCAGAGGUGGAGGAGAAUGGAGCGAGAAAAAAGAGACAGGGUGAGUGUUUGUCUUCAUCCUCUCUUACCCAGAUGUUGCAUCAGUGAUGGCCUGAUGCUCUCACAGUCUCUACACAAUCUCUUGCAUGGGGAAUGAUUGCUCUCUCUGGGAAAGGACCAGAAGGCUGUAGAAAUGAUAAUCACACAGCGGGUUUAACUCCUCUUACUUUAGUUCUAAGAGCAGAACAGUUUCAAAAGACUUUGCCUCUUUAAGCAGUACGAUGUUCUUUUGCACAAAAUGUGAUUUUGUAUUUUGAAGUUCUCUGAGAUAUUAAACAAAUGUUUCACCAUGCUAGCAGCAUGACUCUAUAGGGAUGACCACCACACAUGACCACUUCGGUCCAGACUGAAAUAUCUCAACAACUAUUUGUUGGAUUGCCAUGAAAUAUUGUACAGAUAUUCAUGAUGCUCAGAAAAUGAUCCCUACUGUCUUUGGGGAUCCUCUGACUUUUCAUCCAGUGCUGCCAUUAGGUCAAAUUUCUGAUUUGUCCAACCAAUACAGAGAUGUAUAUCAAAAGUGAUGUUGCCAUAUAUGUCACC